UCCUGCUUAUCACAGGCAGUUUCCUUAGAGUUCUCAACUGAAUGUUAGCAACUAAGGACGAGGGUUGCGCUCGUUGCGGGACUUAACCCAACAUCUCACGACACGAGCUGACGACAGCCAUGCAGCACCUGUGUGCACGCCACCCGAAGUGAAGAAAUCCAUCUCUGGAAAUCAAGCGUGCCAUGUCAAGGCCUGGUAAGGUUCUUCGCGUUGCCUCGAAUUGAACCACAUGCUCCGCUGCUUGUGCGGGUCCCCGUCAAUUCCUUUGAGUUUUAGCCUUGCGGCCGUACUCCCCAGGCGGGGCACUUAAUGCGUUAGCUUCGGCACAGGAGGAGUCGACACCUCCCACACCUAGUGCCCAUCGUUUACGGCGUGGACUAC
RNAcentral lists this unclassified non-coding RNA (381 nucleotides) under uncultured bacterium. RNAcentral describes it as "contains 16S-23S intergenic spacer region". The record is from RNAcentral.